UGGGCGUAUACGUGCAAGUCACAGGGGAUGCGAUGGCUUGGCUUGGGCUCAGAGGCCUGACAGGCUGGGCGUGGUGGCUCACACCUGUAAUCCCAGCACUUUGGGAGGCCAAGGCAGGUGGAUCACGAGGUCAAGAGAUCGAGAUCAUCAUGGCCAACAUGGUGAAACCCCAUCUCUACUAAAAAUACAAAAAUUAGCUGGGCAUGGUGGCACACUCCUGUAGUCCCGGCUACUCGGGAGGCUGAGGCAGAAGAAUCGCUUGAAGCCAGGAGGCGGAGGUUGCGGUGAGUCGAGAUUGUGCCACUGCACUCCAGCCUGGCGACAGACCAAGAAUCCAUCUCAAAGAAAAGAAACAAACCCACAAACUGUUUACUUUCUCAUCAGCAGCCCCCUACUUACCUCUUCAACAACAUUGAAUAUCAUUCAUCUCCUUGUCAUGACACUUUGGCCACACUGGUUUUCUUUUUGGUUCCUGAAUUGCUAUGCUCUUUUCUACCUGUGGACCUUUGCAUAGAAUGAUAUCGUUGCAAGAAAUGUUUUUUCUCUAGAGCUGUGUCAGCUGGUUUUCUUUUUUAACUUUUAAUUUUCAUGGGUAUAUAGUAAGUGUAUAUACUUAUGGGGUACAUGAAAUAUUUUGAUAAAUGCAUGCAAUGCAUAAUAAUUACAUGGGAAAAUGGGGUAUCCAUCACUUGAACAUUUAUCCUUUGUGUUACAACCUAUUAUACUCUUUUCGUUAUUUUAAAAUGUAUAAUUAAACUAUUAUUGACUAUA
This is a long non-coding RNA of Homo sapiens (human), 771 nucleotides long. RefSeq lists it as uncharacterized. The record is from RefSeq and is a predicted model, not a curated record. Lineage: Eukaryota; Metazoa; Chordata; Mammalia; Primates; Hominidae. The transcript is spliced from 2 exons.